UGAACCUGCGGAAGGAUCAUUACAAUUUCGUAUGUCCUUUGUGACUGCGUCGGGGGGCCCUGGAAUAUUGCUCGCAGUUGCCCAGGCCCCCGUCUGCACCCUUGUCUUUUGCGUACUUAUGUUUCCUCGGUGGGCUUGCCCACCGAUAGGACAACCUUUAACACCUUUUUAAUUUUUCAAUCAGCGUCUGAAUAAAUAUAAUAUUUACAACUUUCAACAACGGAUCUCUUGGUUCUGGCAUCGAUGAAGAACGCAGCGAAAUGCGAUAAGUAGUGUGAAUUGCAGAAUUCAGUGAAUCAUCGAAUCUUUGAACGCACAUUGCGCCCUAUGGUAUUCCGUAGGGCAUGCCUGUUCGAGCGUCAUUUGUACCCUCAAGCUUUGCUUGGUGUUGGGUGUUUGUCCGAGCAAACUGCAAGGACUCGCCUUAAAAGUAUUGGCAGCCAGUGUAUCAGUCUUGGAGCGCAGCACAAUUUGCGUCUCUAGCAGUUAUUCUGGUAUCCAGUAAGCCUAUUUUAACGCUUGACCUCGGAUCAGGUAGGGAUACCCGCUGAACUUAAGCAUAUCAAUAAGCGGAGGAAAAGAAACCAACAGGGAUUGCCUCAGUAACG
This 608-nucleotide ribosomal RNA is filed under the name uncultured fungus. Its description in RNAcentral is "eukaryotic LSU rRNA". The stretch from base 209 to 362 matches the Rfam family "5.8S ribosomal RNA". Lineage: Eukaryota; Fungi. The record is from RNAcentral.